GAUGAACGCUGGCGGCGUGCCUAAUACAUGCAAGUCGGACGGAGCGCUUCGGCGCUCAGUGGCGAACGGGUGAGUAGCACAUGGGCAACCUGCCCUUCAGAGGGGAAUAACGUUCUGAAAAGAACGCUAAUACCGCAUAAUGUACAGCUUUCGCAUGGAAGCAGUACCAAAGGAGCAAUCCGCUGAGAGAUGGACUCGCGUCCGAUUAGCUAGUUGGUGGGGUAAAGGCCUACCAAGGCGACGAUCGGUAGCCGGACUGAGAGGUUGAACGGCCACAUUGGGACUGAGACACGGCCCAG
This 299-nucleotide ribosomal RNA is filed under the name uncultured bacterium. RNAcentral's name for it is "partial 16S ribosomal RNA". It matches the Rfam family "Bacterial small subunit ribosomal RNA", at positions 28 to 334 of the family's 1533-position model. The record is from RNAcentral.